Molecule: ribosomal RNA, 235 nt
Filed under: uncultured bacterium
Lineage: Bacteria
Description: partial 16S ribosomal RNA
Rfam family: Bacterial small subunit ribosomal RNA
Source: RNAcentral
UGGCGGACGGGUGAGUAAUGUCUGGGAAACUGCCUGAUGGAGGGGGAUAACUACUGGAAACGGUAGCUAAUACCGCAUAACGUCGCAAGACCAAAGAGGGGGACCUUAGGGCCUCUUGCCAUCGGAUGUGCCCAGAUGGGAUUAGCUAGUAGGUGGGGUAAAGGCUCACCUAGGCGACGAUCCCUAGCUGGUCUGAGAGGAUGACCAGCCACACUGGAACUGAGACACGGUCCGG